Molecule: long non-coding RNA, 555 nt
Filed under: Mytilus galloprovincialis (Mediterranean mussel)
Lineage: Eukaryota; Metazoa; Mollusca; Bivalvia; Mytilida; Mytilidae
Source: RNAcentral
GAAUCAACUUAAAUCUUUGUUAUAUACAAUAUACAAUGUAUAUACACUUUUUACUACCAACUGAUAAAUUUAAAUAAUCUUUACCAUUCAGUGAUAACAAGCAGUUUUUUUACAUCUUAAUAUUUUAUGAUGUAUUUAAAUGAGUAGUUAUUGUUGCAAACUCCAUUAGAAAUUUGAAUUGAUAUCAGUUUUGAAAAAGGGAAACGGGGAUGUGAAAAAAAAGAGGGGGUUAAAUUUUUUCUCAUUUCAGAUUUCAUAAAUAAAAAGAAAAUUUCUUCAAACAUUUUUUUGAGAGGAUUAAUAUUCAACAGCAUAGUGCUCAAAGGCAAAAAAAAACCUUUUAAGUUCAUUAGACCACAUUCAUUCUGUGUCAGAAACCUAUGCUGUGUCAACUAUUUAAUUUUAGAUUUAAAAGUUUGAAGAAGAAUCUUUAAUAGAUUUUAUAAAAUCUUGGCAUUUGUUUUUGUGUAAAAAAAACCCAUGUAAUGUCAAAAAUUUGAUCACAAUCCAAAUUCAGAGCUGUAUCAUGCUUGAAUGUUUUGUCCAUACUUGCCC